UGUAAAUUUACUAAACAGUUAGAAUACCCAAAUAAUAUUGUCUAUGUAUAUUUUUUAAAUAUCUUUAUUGAUUUGGUGUUAAACAAUUUAAAAUUCAAUAUAAAAUUAAAAUAAAUCAAUCCUUUGAUUAGUGGUAAAAACCAUGAAGGAAUACGGUACAUUUCCUAGUGACCAAUAUUCUUCUACAGACGAUUUGAGUCAUCCAUGCACUUAUACUAAUUCAGUUGUACAUGGUAUGAUAGCAAUGGACGACGUAUCUGACAAUAACAAGAUAUGGAGAAUGCUGUUUGCCGAAUUUUUGGGCACAGCUAUUCUAUUGUUUCUUGGUUGUGGCAGCAUUAUGUGGCUUAACGGUUCAACUAAUUCAUCAGAUAUCCUAGCAAUCUCUCUGACUUUUGGUUUCACAAUAGCAACACUAGUACAGAUAUUCGGUCAGACCAGUGGAUGUCAUAUCAACCCAGCAGUCACGGUUAGCUUUUUGGUGAGCGGCCAAUGCUCAUUUUUGAAAUCUGCUCUGUACAUAGUUGCACAGUGUUUGGGGGCUUUAGCCGGUAUCUACCUUCUAGAAUUUGUUACUCCAGACGCAGUAACUAAAGGUUUAGGAAAAACAGACAUAAACACACUGCUUCAACCGGGACAAGGAUUCGUCGUGGAAGCAUUCAUUACCUUUAUUCUAGUGUUGGUUAUUCACUCGGUCUGCGAUGAAGCCAACCGAAGCAACAUAGUUACGCCGUCCAUUUCCAUAGGUCUGACCAUUGCUGCCGCCCAUCUAGCAGCGAUUAAAUACACAGGAGCUAGCAUGAAUCCAGCAAGAUCUUUGGGCCCAGCCGUUGCUCUAGGUGCAUGGUCAAACCAUUGGGUGUACUGGGUCGGUCCUAUUGUCGGUGGCAUACUUGGAGGAACCGUCCAUACUUUUGUGUUGAAACGUCAUACUGAAGAGACAUCAAACCAUACAAUUAAAUUGAGUGCAUUCUAGUUAUUAAAUCAACGAUGAAAUGAAAAUAUAUUACCUAUUUUAUUGCCUAUUUGUAAAGAUGUGAAUUAAAAUAUUCUUACAAUAAUGGUGUAAAAUCAGUAUGCGUGUAUACAGUCCUAGUGCUUGAUGGAAUUAUUGAUAACCUAACAUAAUAUAAUCUAAAUUUAAUAUAAAAAUAUAUAUUUUAUGAUUAUAUAAAAAAUUCACCUUGUUAAAUAUUAUUGUUACCUAAUAAUAAACUGAUUUCAAAUUA
This is an RNA transcript of Metopolophium dirhodum (rose-grain aphid), 1229 nucleotides long. It is a transcript of the gene named aquaporin AQPAe.a, with no coding region annotated. NCBI's taxonomy places the organism in Eukaryota, Metazoa, Arthropoda, Insecta, Hemiptera, Aphididae. The record is from RefSeq and is a predicted model, not a curated record. The transcript has 8 exons.